CAGUAGCCGCGGUAAUACGAAGGGUGCAAGCGUUACUCGGAAUUACUGGGCGUAAAGCGUGCGUAGGUGGUGGUUUAAGUCCGUUGUGAAAGCCCUGGGCUCAACCUGGGAAUUGCAGUGGAUACUGGGUCACUAGAGUGUGGUAGAGGAUAGUGGAAUUUCCGGUGUAGCAGUGAAAUGCGUAGAGAUCUGGAGGAAUACCGAUGGCGAAGGCAGCCAUCUGGCCUAAUACUUACGCUGAGGUACGAAAGCAUGGGGAGCAAACAGGAUUAGAUACCCGUGUAGUCCCUGUCUCUUAUAC
RNAcentral lists this ribosomal RNA (301 nucleotides) under uncultured bacterium. RNAcentral's name for it is "partial 16S ribosomal RNA". It matches the Rfam family "Bacterial small subunit ribosomal RNA", at positions 509 to 807 of the family's 1533-position model. The record is from RNAcentral.